This 1128-nucleotide long non-coding RNA is filed under the name Piliocolobus tephrosceles (Ugandan red Colobus). RNAcentral describes it as "lncRNA (ENSPTEG00000008922.1)". The record is from RNAcentral. Lineage: Eukaryota; Metazoa; Chordata; Mammalia; Primates; Cercopithecidae.
UAGAGUCCAUAAGGAAUGAAAGAGUUUUAUCUAAUAACCGAAAUAAUAAUAGUUACAAUUUUUCAAGAAUGAAAGAAACGUAUAAUUCUAUUACUACUAAUAAUAGCAAUAAUAAUAUUAAACCAGUAUACAUUUAUGAUAGUAAAAUAUCAAAUAACAAUGAUGAAAAAUAUGAUAAAUAUGAUAAAUACGAAAAAUAUGACAACUAUAAUGUUAGUCCUUAUUUAAAAAAUAAUUCGAAUAGUCCAUCUUCUAUAUUACCCAACCGCAAUAUGUUGAACAAAUUUAACAAUAGUAGUAGUAAUAAUAAUAAUGAUAGUAUUAAUAAUAAUAAUAAUAAUAAUAAUAAUAGUAGUUGUAUUAUUAAUAAUAAUAAAUAUAAUCAGAGUAUAGCUAAAAAUGUAAAAGAUAUAUAUAGUGAUAAUGUAACAGAUUCAUCUCGAUUUAGGAGUAUACCUUAUGAAAGUAUCUACGAUACUCAUAGUAAUAAAAAUAGUAACUACAACAAUAAUAAUGGAAAUAGUACUUGUAGAAGUAGCAGAGUAUCAAAUAUGUAUUUUAAUGAUAGUGCUAGACGAAGUAUCAGCGCUAUUCCUAAUAUAAACAAUCUUAGCAGACGUAAUUCGAAUAUGUAUAUAGGUGAAGACGAUACAUAUAAUAAUAAUAAUAAUAGUAAUAAUAAUAAUAAUAAUAAUAGUAAUUUAGAUGAAAAUAACAGUUAUAGAAUGCUUGAAAAGGAUAAAGAAUAUUUAAUAGAAAAAAGAAAACUAUUUUUGGAAAGGGAAAAAGACGCUUAUGAGCGAAUUAGGCAAAAUAAUAACUACGCUUACGUUAAUAUACCAAGAUACGAAAGAUGCGAAGAUAUGAAGAAUAUAAAUAAAUCAAAUAACUUAUCCUCUAACAGACGUAAUAGAAGUAUGGUUAAUUGUGUAAACGAACAAGAAAAAAGAAUGUCAACCUAUAAUAUAAAAAAAGCUUACGAAGAUGAAGAUGAUGAUAACUAUGCCAUGCAAAGUAGAAAUGUGUAUAAUGUGAAGAAUAUGGUACAUAAUAAUGAUUAUAGUGUAUAUGAUAGGAACACAUUUUCUUGUAGGUGAUAAAUAAAAUUAAUAGAGCGAAUAAUAAACA